Molecule: ribosomal RNA, 514 nt
Filed under: uncultured bacterium
Lineage: Bacteria
Description: partial 16S ribosomal RNA
Rfam family: Bacterial small subunit ribosomal RNA
Source: RNAcentral
GAUGAACGCUGGCGGCGUGCCUAAUACAUGCAAGUCGAGCGAACAGAUGAGAAGCUCGCUUCUCUGAUGUUAGCGGCGGACGGGUGAGUAACACGUGGGUAACCUACCUAUAAGACUGGGAUAACUCCGGGAAACCGGGGCUAAUACCGGAUAAUAUUUUGAACCGCAUGGUUCAAUAGUGAAAGACGGUUUCGGCUGUCACUUAUAGAUGGACCCGCGCCGUAUUAGCUAGUUGGUAAGGUAACGGCUUACCAAGGCGACGAUACGUAGCCGACCUGAGAGGGUGAUCGGCCACACUGGAACUGGGACACGGUCCAGACUCCUACGGGAGGCAGCAGUAGGGAAUCUUCCGCAAUGGGCGAAAGCCUGACGGAGCAACGCCGCGUGAGUGAUGAAGGUCUUCGGAUCGUAAAACUCUGUUGUUAGGGAAGAACAAAUUUGUUAGUAACUGAGCAAGUCUUGACGGUACCUAACCAGAAAGCCACGGCUAACUACGUGCCAGCAGCCGCCGUAA